RNAcentral lists this RNase P RNA (352 nucleotides) under uncultured Desulfovibrio sp. RNAcentral's name for it is "Bacterial RNase P class A". It matches the Rfam family "Bacterial RNase P class A". Rfam says of the family: Ribonuclease P (RNase P) is a ubiquitous endoribonuclease, found in archaea, bacteria and eukarya as well as chloroplasts and mitochondria. Its best characterised activity is the generation of mature 5'-ends of tRNAs by cleaving the 5'-leader elements of precursor-tRNAs. Lineage: Bacteria; Pseudomonadati; Thermodesulfobacteriota; Desulfovibrionia; Desulfovibrionales; Desulfovibrionaceae. The record is from RNAcentral.
AGCCGGACAGACCGUCGCUGCGGGCCUUUGGCCCGGAGAGGAAAGUCCGGGCUCCACAGGGCAGGACGCUGGGUAACACCCAGGAGGGGCGACCCUCGGACAGCGCCACAGAAAGCAAACCGCCGCGCAUGCGCGGUAAGGGUGAAACGGUGGGGUAAGAGCCCACCAGAUGCCGCGGCGACGCGGCAUGCUCGGCAUACCCCGUCUGGAGCAAGACCAAAUAGGGAAGGCGGUCGGCCCGACCCAUGCCUUCCGGGUAGGUUGCUUGAGGGCGCGGGCAACCGCGCUCCUAGAGGAAUGACGGUCACGUGCGGCUUGCCGCAUGACAGAACCCGGCUUAUCGUCCGGCUCC